UACGUAGGGUCCGAGCGUUGUCCGGAAUUAUUGGGCGUAAAGGGCGCGUAGGCGGUGUCUUAAGUGGGAUGUGCAAUCCCCGGGCUUAACCUGGGAACUGCAUCCCAGACUGGGACGCUGGAGUACUGGAGAGGGUGGUGGAAUUCCACGUGUAGCGGUGAAAUGCGUAGAGAUGUGGAGGAACACCAGUGGCGAAGGCGGCCACCUGGGCAGUAACUGACGCUGAGGCGCGAAAGCCAGGGGAGCAAACGGG
RNAcentral lists this ribosomal RNA (253 nucleotides) under uncultured bacterium. RNAcentral's name for it is "partial 16S ribosomal RNA". It matches the Rfam family "Bacterial small subunit ribosomal RNA", at positions 524 to 776 of the family's 1533-position model. The record is from RNAcentral.